CGGCGGGGCGCGUUGGCGCGGGGAGGGACUGCAGAGGCCCGGUGACUCGCGUUGAAGGAGAAAGGCAACAAAAAAUAAAAAAGGAACAGAUGACUUCAUUCUCGGGAAGGCUCCGUCCUACACGGACCAAUUUCCUGGGGACUGUGGUGGAACAGCCCUGCUGCCGUUGGAAGCACUUAAAACUAAACCAGAUAAAGACCAGAACAUUCUGGGCCCUGCUGAACCAAGCCAGGGCAGGCUGCCGGGGCAUGCAAUUGCUGGCCACAUGGGGAGGACAUGCGGUUAGCCUUUGGUCACGGAGACCUUUGCCCUUUCAAGAUAAAGUGAUCUUCAGCUCUGUUCCCAGCACCAGCCGCUCUCAGUUGCACAGCCCUCCCUGAAUGUGUGAACCAAAGUCACUGGUUCCAAGAAGAAAGAGCAUCCUCCAUCCCCACCCCACUCCCACCC
RNAcentral lists this long non-coding RNA (447 nucleotides) under Pan troglodytes (chimpanzee). RNAcentral describes it as "long non-coding RNA NONPTRT017981". Lineage: Eukaryota; Metazoa; Chordata; Mammalia; Primates; Hominidae. The record is from RNAcentral.